This is a long non-coding RNA of Cebus imitator (Panamanian white-faced capuchin), 223 nucleotides long. RefSeq lists it as uncharacterized. Lineage: Eukaryota; Metazoa; Chordata; Mammalia; Primates; Cebidae. The record is from RefSeq and is a predicted model, not a curated record. The transcript has 3 exons.
GAUGGACACAAUGUGUUCCUGACACACUGCGGAAUAUUAUGCAGCUGUAAAAAGGAAUGAGGCACUGAUCCAUGCUACAACCUGGAUGAACCUUGAGUAUAUGAUGCUGAGUGAGAGAAACCAGAAGCAGAAUGCCACUUCUUGUACAAUGCUGUGGGAAUAAUUUGGGGAAGGGAACCAGGACUCUCCCUAGCCUCCUGGAGGAAAGGAGUAGAGACGGGGU